CCUAGAGCUGUAGGCUUUGCCUGCUAUCUCUUACCCAUGUCUUUUGAGUACCUUACGUUUCCUCGGUGGGUUCGCCCACCGAUUGGACAAACUUAAACCCUUUGCAGUUGAAAUCAGCGUCUGAAAAAACUUAAUAGUUA
RNAcentral lists this unclassified non-coding RNA (140 nucleotides) under soil metagenome. RNAcentral describes it as "partial internal transcribed spacer 1". The record is from RNAcentral.